Molecule: long non-coding RNA, 2068 nt
Organism: Eriocheir sinensis (Chinese mitten crab)
Lineage: Eukaryota; Metazoa; Arthropoda; Malacostraca; Decapoda; Varunidae
Exons: 2
Source: RefSeq, a predicted model, not a curated record
UAGAUACAAUUUCGUACGCUGAAUGGCCGGGCUUAUGUUCGUCUGUCCUUGCUGACAUGCUGGCUGAUUUUUUGCACUUGGAACUUUUUGAUAACUUUUCUUAGCCAGGUGUUUUUUGUGUGUGUUUGUCUUUAUUUCUUGUCUGUUAGCACGUUCUCGCAUUUCUCUGGACUUCAACUAAUUGCACUUUUUUCCUAUUAACUUGUAUUUGUCAAUGUGUUUUCUGUGUCUUCUUAUAAGCUGACCCAUUCUCGCCUGGAUUUUUUCUUUGUUGUUGUUGUUGUUGUUUGUUUUCACUGUACUUCAACUAAUUGCACUGUAUUUUCUUAUUAACUUGUAUUUCCCAGUGUGCUUUCUGUGUGUUUUCCUAUAUGCUGACCCAUUCACGCAUUGAUAUUUUUGUUCUUUUCUGCACUUUGAAUGUUUGCACCUUUGUUUGUUGUUUGCACUCUCGUUGUUUGCAUUCCUGAUCUUGGAUUGUUUGUUUUGUUCCGUUAAAAUGUUCACACUCUCAUUGUUCUUGCAUUCCCACACUCGUCUAGGUGGUUGUUUGCACCUUUGUUUGUUGUUUGCACUCUCGUUGUUUGCAUCGCUGAUCUUGGAUUGUUUGUUUAGUGCCGUUAAAAUGUUCACACUCAUUUUUCUUGCAGUUCCACACUCGUCUAGGCUGUUGUUUGCACCCUUAUCUUGUUUGCAUUGCUACAUUUGCCACAUUUGUUUGCUCCCUUGUCAUAUUUUUAUCGCUGCACUCGACCAGUUGUUUGCUGUUUCGGUGACUAAGAAUGUUCACACCUUUAUUUUUGUUUGCAUUGGCCGGUUGGUUUUGUGCACUUAAAUUGUUUGCACUUCAUUUGUUUACGGUUCUGCACUGCUCCGUGGUUUGGUCGGCGUCAUCAGGUCAUCUUUUUCCCUGUUUAUGAUUCACUUUCGAUAAUUUCUCCUUCUAGAACGAGUGGAGUGAAUCUUGGAAGACUUGCAAGCUAUUUUUUUUUCUCUCGUAACCUUCAAACUCCUUUAUUUAUUUCAUUUAUUUAUUUAUUUAUUUAUUUAUUUACGUGAACACCUAUUACGCCAGUACGCUCUCUUGAGGGGCCUGGAUGGUGUUCGGCCCCAAUCCGUCAUGGCGCAGGCAAGUGUUUAUAGUGGCGCCAUCUAUGAACAUACUAAUUAUACUACUUCAACAUGCAACAUACAGGACAAGAUUCAUAACUCUUUACAGCAAGUGGAUCAAAGAAACAUAACUCAAGACUAUUGCAUUUAUAUUUUGUUUCAUUACUUGUUUGUUAUGUAUUCUAAUCCCUAAAACACAUUCAGUAACACAUACACACACACGCACACACACACACACACACACACACACACAGCAGGGAAGGUCAAUGUGUGUGUGUGUCUUAUCUCUUAACAAACAACUAAGUACGUCGGCACUUAUGUUAUCAGGUCCAGUUGAGAGUAGUUACAUACACACACACACACACACACACACACACACACACACACACACACACACAACAGAAGAAGGGUCAUAUUACCACCACCAGGGUCAUGAAACUAUACGUAAGGAAAUAAAUCAAUGAGAGAUAUUAGUCAAGAUCUCAUGCGUUUCUUUCAUGUUAAUUGUACAGAAGAAGGAUCAAACUACCACCAGGGUCAUGAAACUAUAGGAAAGGAAAUUGGUUUGCUGUACAUAUGAGGAGAUAAAUCGCAAAUCAUCUAAUCUACUAUAAAAAUGAGAUUAGUCAAGUUAUCGAGUGUUUUUUCAUUACAGAAGAAGAGUCAGACUACUACCAGGGUCAUGAAACUAUAGGAAAGAAAUUGAUCUAUACAUAUAAGAAGAUAAAUCGCGAAUCUUCUAAUCUACUUUAAAAAUGAGAUUAGUCGAGAUCCCACGAGUGUUUUUUUCAUGUUAAUUGUACAGAAGAAAGGUCAAACUACCACCAGGGUCAUGAAACUAUAGAAAAGGAAAUUGGUUUGCUAUAUAUAUAAGAAGAUAAAUCGCGAAUCUUCUAAUCAACUAUAAAAAUGAGAUUAGUCGAGAUCCCAUGAGUGGUUUUUUUUUUUUUUUUUUUUU